CCCAGUGUGAGAAAAGGAAGAACCAAGGAAGACACGGGUGCUGGCACUGUGUGUGAACCACUGGCUCCUCCCCCCAGGGAGUUUAGGGGGCUCUGAGGGACACAGCACAUGCAGGAUGGAAAGACAGAACUGGCUCCAAGUCUGUGUAGGAGUGGGACAACAUAGAGUCCUGGAGGGCUUCUAGGAAGAGGUGACACUGGCCUGGGGUUCUAAAAGCCAAACCUGAAUUUAUCAAUUGCUCACAGAAACAGGGAAUGGACAAUUGGAACAGCUCGUGCCAAGGCACAGAGGUGCAACCUAACCUAGGGGUGUGCUGGCAGCAGGCCAACUGAUUCAGGGUAACUGGGCGACAUAGAGAAGUGGUUGGUUGGAAAGAAAAGUGGUCAUGGGCCAGGACGGCUUGGAAAACCUGCUAAGCCUUGGCACUUCAGAGCUGGAACUUUCUACAGCUUUUAAGCAGGAUAGGAUAUGAUCAAUAUUUAGCAAGGGGUCUGAUAAGGAGAUAGGAGGCCUCUGCCAUCAGGCAGGGCACAGACAGGGCUGGGGGCCAAGAGAGGGUGGGGUCAACUGAGAUGGCAGCUCACCCCCUGACCCUUACCGGGUGUCCCAUUUCCUUAGUCUGUUGAGGAGACUGGGGCCCGCAGAGAUUAGAGACCCGGAGUGACUGAGGGCCUUUGGUGGUUCAUGAGCAGCUGCGUCCUCUCCCCUACAGCCUGUACUCAGAACAACACUCCGCAUAGCCAAGCCGUGUUCAAAGAAAGUUUGCUACUGGGCAAUUGCUUCAGCUCUGUGGUUUUCCGUUCAAGAGAGAGCCGAGUUCAUUGAACUUUAGGGCAGCUGUUUCCUCGUCUUCUCUCCACUGCAAUAAUACAGUUAAUGGGAUUAUUUCCUGCACAUAAGAACAGGGCUGCUAAGAAAACACUUUGGAGCGAAGGCUGUUUGCAGAGGCCAGGCUGAAAGGCAAGCUCACACCAGGAGGAAGAACAGGGCGUGUUUCCACACGAGCUCAGGUGGAGCGAUGCCAUCCACACCUCAGUCUGCCUUCCCCUCCGCCCCACUAGGCUCUGAUUCACAGGUUUCUCAGGACUACCGGCCAGUUUCCCGGCCUCUCAGGAGAUCCCAAGAUCGCCUAGCCUUGAAACGCUGAGCAGGGAACACAGUCUCCAGAGGUGAGUCUCCAGAACACAGAAACUGGCUCUUAGCAGCGAAGAGGACCACGUUGCCUGGGACUUAACUGUUCUUUGCACUGCAUGCUGUGCCCUUAAGGGGAUGGGAGGAUGGGAUGUGGGGGAGUUCACUCAGCAGCUAUGUGCACGCAUGCGGAUUUGUGUGGGAGGCACCCGUUCCCCACCUAGUGUACCCUACCUGUUUGCACACACAGUGUGUUCAUGUACUCGGACUGUGUCACAGGUAGCUGCCAAAUCCCUGGUCCCCAUGUCUCCAGCUGGUCACCCCAUCCAUUCCAGGAGUCAGAGCUGCAGGACUGAGGUCGAUAAGGACUGGCUGUCUUGUUUACAUUAGACUCUCCUUUUCCCCAGUCAAUACGUCCUUGGACGAUGCGUAUACCAUCCUCUCUAAGCCUUGUGUCUACAAGAGGGGUUCAGGGCCACAGUCCUAAAUACCUAGGAGGAGCCUAGGGAAAGCACACUGUUGUUUGUAUCUCUGUGGCUGCCACACCAGACCCCAGACCUUGCACGGAAAGGAGAGCUAAAGGCCACAGCCAUUCAUCACCAUAAAUGUGGUGGGCAAGGUUCUAACUCAGCCGCCUGGAGCACAGAGGUGAGCAAGGUUGGAGUGCGGUACCACGGCCCCCACACAGCCCCCCAGACUCCGUAAAGCUUCCCUCUAACCUGAGGAUGAAUCCCCACUUGGAACACACACGUGGUCGGGCCUGGUGGGGUAGAGCACCUACAGUUCUCCAGAAUCAUGGGGCUGGCCCCAAAGGCCACCCACCCACUGCAGGGACUGGCAACCAUGCAGGGCAAGGUAAACUACCCAAGAUUGCUCUCUGGAAUGUGGUGGCUGGGAAAGGUAACACGCAUAUUACUGCUAUGUAAACACAGUUAAACUAUUUACAAGACAGGCUUAGGCCUGGGGGCCCCAGGAAGCCCCUGCCAUGUGGGGUGUGGGACCUACCCCUCUUCCAAAGCUCUGCUGGCCACGAUGGUGAAGAAGAUGAUCCUUGGCCUUUUCUGGAAGCCACCCCACCCAGGUCCCCUUAUGGGCCGUUCAUUGGCCCAUCGCACUGUCUGUUCACAGACUAGGGCUGGGGACAAAGGUGUUUAAUAUAGAAAAGAAGUUUACUUGCAGAAGCUUGCCGUUCUAUAGGCUCAAAACACCUGAUUGGCUUUUGUGAGGGCGGCAUGGUAUAUGGUAUCCUGUUGACAUGCACUGAAGUGUGUAGAAGAGAUUAUACAGAAGUCAGAGAGACUCAGGGACCAGGCUAGCUCUUUCCAACAGCCUCUUCUCGGUGUGCACUUACUUGCUCCUUGAGACCAGCAUCAAACUGCUCGUUUUGGAGCAGUUUGCAGAAGAUGCUUUGCAAGUAAGUGCUCUGCCCCACAUUCCAAGGAGGCCUUGGGAGAGAUCUCCAUGUAGAAUGCAAAGCAAUAAACGGAGGCAGAAGCCCCGUGCUUCCCUGAGGAGCCCCUCGGGGGCUGUGUUUAGGACUGUGGCCCUGAACCCCUCUUCUAGAGGGGAGAGCCAGUCCCCUGCCCAGAGCCUCAGGUCUAAAGGGGACAAUUUUUGCCUAAGCUCAUGUCUCACCACACCCAAUCUAAGAAGCAAGGCUAGUCUUGAAGGCUCCAACAUCCAGCCCACUUUUUCUUGGGGUGACCGGACCAGAAAGUUCAAGACUAGACAUGAGCUGCCCUGAAGAGCAAAGGCCCCAAGGAUGGUUGAGCUGUGCCUGCAACUGCAGAUUCAUAACCAGGGCUGGACCCUUCUCUGUGCCCAGGACAGAUGUCAUGCUUAUCCUCUGCCUUCUCCUGGAAGUUAUCCCCUACUGGCUAAAUUCGAAAAGCUCGCCAGCUUCCCAAAGAGGUCGAAGCUGAUACAUGCUAGAGGGAUUGCUUAUGACUGAGUGAAGAUGCUACUGUUCUCUUCCCAGCCCUUCCAGGCUCUGUCUGCCUGGCUGCCCCUCCUCCAGCCUCCCGGAUUUGCUUCUGCACACGCUGGGGUCAUCCUGAGCACCGUACCCAAGCCUUUUUGAGAAGCACUGCCCACAAGACCUCCCUUUCCCUCCCAGAACCCCUGCCAGCCCAGAGUGGUUACUCUGACUGACUUAUGAUGUUCCCAGAUACUUAGUCGAUGGUCUUCUCUGAAGACCUUGCUCCUAGUUUGGUGGCCCACAAAUAUUUCCUCUAACUUCCCACUACUGGGAAGUGGGAAUUUUGGCUCUCCUACUCUGGUUAGGAAACUGAGAUUGGGGGCGAGAAUAGGUUAGCUCCCGGGGUCAGAUGGCUUGCGGUAUGGCAGGACAUUCUGAUAUCCAUGUUCUGAUUACUGCACUGCUCUGCCCAUGUGACCAUGGACACUGAGGAACAAGGUGUGUCCUCCAUCGUGCUGGGUUAGGAAAGGGUCCGAUUCAGUUCAAAGGAACCAUUUAUUACAUCGAUUGAUUUUGUGAGCUCAUGUGCACCACAUGCAUGCAAGUGCCCUUUUGGCCAGUAGAGGGCGCUGGAUUCCCUGGAACUGGAGUUACAAGUGGCUUAAACUGCCUGCUGUGGGUGCUGGGAACUGAACCUGGGUCCUCUGUCAGAGCGGUAUGUCUUCUUAAAUGCCAAACUGUCUCUCCAGCCCUGGCAUAAGCCUUCAGAUCAGUUCAGUAAACACAUAGAAAUACAACUGGGGACCCUAUAAGAUCCCCAUAGUUAGCAUUGUAGGAGACAGCCAGGUGGUCUCCCCAGGUGGCUGGAGCAGUUCUCAUCCUUCUGGCAAUGAUGGGGAAAAGAUUUUAUUUUUGUUUUUGUUGUUGUUUGUUUGUUUCUGGGACAGGAUCUUACUAUGUACCCCUAGCUGGCCUGAAAUUUGCUAUAUAAUUCAGGUUGGCCUUGAACUCAGAGACACCCUCCUGCCUCUGCCUCCUGAAUGCUGGAAUUAGGAGCUACCACACCUGUCUACACAUUUUGGCAUCAGCAGAGAGGAAUCCAGCAGAAUUUCCUGCAAUGUUCAGCAUCUGCCCUGUUCAAUUUGCUCCAGUGCUUUGAGCAGCUGAGGUGCUGAAUGGCCGCCAUAUGCCAAACAGAUCCAGAAAGAGUCACCUGCAUCCUGUGGAGACUGGACCAUGAGUGCAGAUGCACAGGCCAAGAGCUUAGGGUCCUGGCUAGGCGGUCCGGUUAGGAAGUAUUGAAGCAAUGUUAGCAGCCACCCAGUGAGAAAAGUUACUGAAAUACACGAAAUCCUCCUGCCUCAGCCUCCAGAAUAGCUGGGAAUAUAAGUCAGUGCCUCUGGAUAACAGGCCUGUGUGUCUGCUCCAUUCUGAAUAUCUCCUGAGCUCAGGAAAAAGGAGUCCUUUCCACCACGUGAGGACCAUGAGAAUAGUGAGACACGUCUCAUCUGGUUAUACAGAACGCCCCUGGGAGAGGCAGCCAGGAGCACACACAAGAGAGGUUUGCUGAGCAUCUGAUGGUGGGGUGUGACCUUUCUCCAUUCCAGUUGCUCUGAACAGGGAGUUGUAAAAGACUCUAUCCUCUCUGAACACUGUUUCCAUGGACUCAUCUGCCAGGCUCGGGCUAAUAGCUGGAGGUGGCAGGGCAGUACAGGAAAGCGACGAGCUUCUAAGAAACGGUUGAGCUGGAUACAAAGCCAGGGCCCAAAGCUAGGUCUUUGGAAUUCCCCCUUUCUGUCCAGCAGCUGGGAAACCAGUUCCUCCAUUUCAGAGAACUGGUGCAAGCUUGUAUCCUUUGCUUCUUUUGCAGCAAAAGCCUGAGCAGCUGUGGGUGGAGGUUUCCCAACUCCAAGACUCCUUGGUGUCCCCAGAGGCAUAACCUCAAAUUCCUCUCAAAGAACGAGAAGUCAAUGAUCCUCUGAGAGUCCCCAAAGCCCUUGCCUUCAUCUUGGCUCACUACCUCCUGGCUUCUCGUAGGACAGGGCAGGGUUAAGGAGCCUCUAUGAAUUGUGUCUUUGUAGAGCAGUGGUUCUCAAUGCUGCGGCCCUUUAAUUGGGUUUCUCACGUGUGGUGCCCCCCAAUCGUCUACUUCGUAACUGUCAUUUGCCACUGAUAUGAAUCAUAAUGUAAAUCUCUGACAUACAGGAUAUCUGAUGUGACCCCAAUGGAGCCUUGACCCACAGGUUGAGAACCACUGUCUUAGUCACCUGACCCACUGUGGGAGACUCUUGUUUCUGUAGCCAGGAGCAACAAAACACCAACGAGAGCCAAGGAGAAAACCGACCAUCCCAUGUGUGUAACAUCUGGGCAUGGGGCAUGAAGGGUGGGGAUCAUCUUAGCAUUCCUUUUUCUGUAAGAGAUGGCAAGAAAUGUAAGGCCACAAUUCAAGAAGGACUUCUGCCUGGUGAGAGACUUGAGAUAGCGUCCUGUUGCAUUCAAGGCGGGGAUCAGGCGGACCAUGAGAUACUCCAACAGAGUGGUGUUGAGGGAAAUGUGGAAUUUAGACACAAGACGCACAGUAUGUUUCUCAGUUGGAUUUGGGGUGACGGGGUACAGUGAGUGGUGAAGUCGAGAUGUGGCCACCCCAGUAACAGGUCCAGACUCAGGCUCACUGCUUCUGCUCCGUCCACACUGCUCUCUACUGUAGACCACCUCACUGUAGAGACAAUGAGACACUAGGAUUCCUCCCAGAGGUCAGCACUGACAGGCCCCUAUGUCUUUGUAUAGGGAAACUUUCCCUAAUCCCAUGAAGGCCCUGGGGGGGGGGGGCUUUUAGAUUGGCUUCCACAGCAGGACUUCAGCUUUUGAAAGACUGAAGCUUCAGGACGGCCUACCCAACUAUCCAGUUCUGGGUCCAGGGAGGAAUGAGAUCACCUGAGGCUAAGAUAGACCUCGGGUCAGCAGGUGAGGAUGUUGACUCUGGGAUCCAUGGCCUCCUGCCCCACCCCCACCAUGUUACUUGCUUAUCUCAGUACUGUGACAAAGACCUAACAAACAACUUAAGAAAGGAAGGGGUUAUCUCAGCUCAUUGCUUUGUUAUUACUUAUUUAUUUAGUGU
This 6167-nucleotide small RNA is filed under the name Rattus norvegicus (Norway rat). Its description in RNAcentral is "uncharacterized LOC102550162". Lineage: Eukaryota; Metazoa; Chordata; Mammalia; Rodentia; Muridae. The record is from RNAcentral.